RNAcentral lists this ribosomal RNA (190 nucleotides) under uncultured Glomeromycotina. RNAcentral's name for it is "partial 18S ribosomal RNA". The stretch from base 56 to 190 matches the Rfam family "Eukaryotic small subunit ribosomal RNA", at positions 733 to 866 of the family's 1831-position model. The record is from RNAcentral. Lineage: Eukaryota; Fungi; Glomeromycota.
ACUGUCGCCGUUGAUUUCUCACCUUCUGGAGAAGCUCGAUGUCCUUAAUUGGGUGUCUUGCGGAACCAGGACCUUUACCUUGAAAAAAUUAGAGUGUUUAAAGCAGGCAUUAUUGCUCGAAUACAUUAGCAUGGAAUAAUAGAAUAGGACGGCAUGGUUCUAUUUUGUUGGUUUCUAGGAUCACCGUAAU